This 445-nucleotide ribosomal RNA is filed under the name uncultured bacterium. RNAcentral's name for it is "partial 16S ribosomal RNA". It matches the Rfam family "Bacterial small subunit ribosomal RNA", at positions 354 to 796 of the family's 1533-position model. The record is from RNAcentral.
GUGAGGAAUAUUGGUCAAUGGGCGAAAGCCUGAACCAGCCAUGUCGCGUGAAGGAUGAAGGUCCUAUGGAUUGUAAACUUCUUUUGCAGGAGGGUAAAGUGAGCUACGUGUAGUUCAUUGCAAGUACCCUGCGAAUAAGCAUCGGCUAACUCCGUGCCAGCAGCCGCGGUAAUACGGAGGAUGCGAGCGUUAUCCGGAUUUAUUGGGUUUAAAGGGUGCGUAGGCGGACUAAGUAGUCAGCGGUGAAAUUUUGCGGCUCAACCGUAAAACUGCCGUUGAAACUGUUAGUCUUGAGUGCGGUAGAGGUAGGCGGAAUGUGUGGUGUAGCGGUGAAAUGCUUAGAUAUCACACAGAACACCGAUUGCGUAGGCAGCUUACUGGAGCGCAACUGACGCUGAGGCACGAAAGCGUGGGGAUCGAACAGGAUUAGAAAACCGAGUAGUCC